GGAAGUUUUCAAAUCAGCAUUACAUGUGUAAAGUCAUAAUCCCUGAACAUGAUAAAUAGCGUAGUAGAAAAUUUGAAAAGCGCAAAAAUUAAACCCUUUCAUCGUCGCGCAAACGGCGCACGAAAGGCUACGCCACGUGUCUUUUACUGUGACGAAGGGGAAAAGGUUAAAAACGCGUCCAGCCAUCGAUCCCCUCAUUUUCCCCAUCUCCCAUUUUCUCUUCCCUGAGUGGCGGGUAGGGUUAGCGCGAUCGCCGCCUCAUCCCCGCACGCAACCUCUCCUUUCGGCUCUCCUCCGCGGCUCCGCCUCCUCCUCUGGUGGCAUCCAACCCAUCGUCUUCUCCUACUUCCCUCUCUUAUUCUUCUGUGCCUCGACGAGGUGGGCAAGCCGGUGCACACACAAAGGGUGGUUGCGGCUGUGGCUCCGAUGCGGGCGCCGUGGAGGUGGAGUCGGAGCUGCAGCAGAAGGAGGUGGACGGCCGCGACAACAGCUUUAGCUUCGAUGAGUUCCAUCACCUCCAUUGCUAUCUCAGGUUAGCCGAUUAAUGUAUUUGAUUGCUGGCCCUUUUGUGUUGGCUGAUGGUGGCGAGAUGAAAUAAGAAUUAAACCUGAUGCUGGGACAAUAAGUAUUUGUACUAUAGAUCCACUAAAGAUUGUAUUGAAAUAGCAGGCUACAUAUCUAUCUAAUAUGCAUCUGUGGUACAAGGUGAAUCUUGUUUCCUGAUAGAGAACAAUAAAGAUAAGUUGGUGACACAAAGUACUGAAUAAAAAACACUUCUAAUGAUCUAUAUAAUGUGAAAUCUUUUUUUAUGUGUAGAUUUAUCGAAUAAUAUCAUAAUUCUGAUAUGUAGUUUCCUCCUGUUGGGUAUCUCACGUAGCAUGAUAUGAAGCUUCUGAAUAAUUGGUUGCAGAGUUAUCGUAUGUGUCUUGGAGUUCCAAACUUCACAUUCAUUGAGCUUAAUUUUUAUAUAUCGCUUAUGUCUUUCCAGUCAUGCAGUCGCAGGUUCUCCAUUUCAUGAUUUUAAUAGUUGACGGGGUGAGAAAUUUCAUGGCAAGAGCCAUGGUUUAUCUCAGAUGUGUAAAGGGAAAUAUAUUUGUUGACCCAAAAAUCACACUAUACUGUUGCAAUUUCUCUGUUGAAAAGGUAUGCAGAAGCCAAUAGUACACAAAAUAUUUCUGUCGCCUAGAGAUUUACUGGUUGUCUAAAAAAGCACCCAAAACUGAUUGAAAAAGAAAUAGAUGCUGCUAAGUUGCAUCCAUUUGAUAUUUAGGGAUGUCGCAAGAUUGUACAUAUUCAGUUCCAAUAAGAAUAACAUUUAUCCCAACCUAUGUCUUUGCAGUGCCUUGACUAUAGCAAAAUUGGCCUCCCGUGCUAUGAUGACGCGAAGAAUGGGACAAUUUGCUCGAUCAGUUUCAAAUCAGAAACAAGAAAUUUGAGAAAUUCGUUGGAUAAGUACUAAUAUGGUGCUUUUCUAAGAAAGUAGGCAUACUAUAUAUUUUUUCCUUACAUACCACUAUGCUUUAGUAGUAUUGGUAUUUACUUUCUCAUUUGCAUAAUGAUAUAGUCAUUUAUGGGCCUUUACCAAUGAAGUGGUAAUAUUAGAUAUGGGUAAUUGGGUCAUGGAUAAUUAAUUAAUUAUUGGCUCGUAUUAACUCUGGAGCAUCUUCAAAUUUCUCAGUUAUGUUUUCUAAAAGUUUUCCCUUUGGUAUAAAUGAGAAGCUAGAAAACAAUAUUUGUUUGCUGGCAAGUAAAAUAUGGUCCCCCCUUUUGUAACUUCUUAGUGUAUUCUGUUUCUUUCAUGGGAAUUCAAUUAGACACAGUCGUUGUUGCUUUUGUAUGCUGGAACUUAGCCAAAGGAGGUUGCUUGGUUGAUAUAUUAUCUUAAAAAGUUCUACUGAGAAUUUGGAAUGAAGUGCUUGACUGGAAAUCCCUAAGCAAAACUUUGGUAAUGCUUCAUUGGAUAUCGGUUACAUUAUGAUGUAUUGCAAAUUUUCGUACUACAUAUUUGAUGAAUUAAUGCUUCUACAUAUUUGUAGGUUGUGUUAGUUGACUUUGUUGAAAUAAAUGAAUAAUUUGAAAAUAGCUGGCAUGUUCUCUUAAUCAACAUUAUUUCUUGGUGCAGAUUAUAUGAUUAUUAAUGCAGGUCCAUGCUCUACUCUGAUGGCUGAGGUUGGAUACACUUGCUACAUGUUUAUUUAAUUUUAUUCUAUUGGAGGAUUCAAACUCUAGACUGAUGAAGUGGUGCAUUUUGAAUUUUCUUCUUAGAUAUUGUGAAUGGUCUACUGAAGGUAUCAAUAAUAAUACAUAGUUUACAUAGUCAAGAUUCAUACUUUCCUUAUUACAUGUUGGUUUAUAUCCCCUACAUAUGUGAUGUGUGUUUAGCUUAUCAACUAUUCUUAAGUGAAUCUUAUGUGGUAUUGCAGGACUAACUUUUCUUUAGACAAUUUUGUAAUCUUUAGUUCAUUUUGGGUCAUUUCCAUUGCCUGUUAGUGUUUUUCGCUAGAGUGCUUUGCAGGCAGUUGUUUGAAAUAGAACCUUCCAGCCAUCUUACUUCUCCAAUAGUACUUUCUUGUUGAGUUUGGUUGGAUGUUCUCCAAAGUAAAUUUGGGAGAACAAUAAACCAUACUUUCUAUGUUUUGAAACUAGAGCUGGCCAUGAUUAAUUCUUUUCAAGUUGAUAGUCUAUCAGAGUUUGAAUUUGCUUUUGUAUAGAAAUAUGGAAGUAUAUUAUUUCAUCAUAUUUUUCCUAAAGUAGCUUCUGAUUUGUUCACAUUUGUAGAACUACACAAUCUGCACAUUCCUUCUCUUCUCCUAAUCAAUUUCAUCUCAAAUUAGGCUUUAUCCCCUGAUUAGCAUUCUGAGCUACUUAAAUUUCUUCGCCCACAUGUUUGAUUUAGGUUUUUGUUUAGACAUGACAAAUGUUUGCAAGUUAUAGACGCCGCGCCUGCCGCUGUCGGGGAGCUCCUGCCUGCGCUGCAAGCCUCAUGACCUUGCAAACUCGCUUGUGCUGCUUAAACGAUACGGCCUCUCCCUACUCAGGAUGGACUGCUUCGUGUAGAUUCACUCUUCUUUGCCUGAAGGCUCCUGUGUAUCCAGGACCGGCACAAGGAAAAUUCUGGGAUGAAGUGCUGGAGGUACCAUGCAAGCAAGCAUGGCGACCGGGAUCAUGCUGCAGUGGCUGGGUAUAUCCCCUCCCGCUAGCUGAGGAUGGGCUCGAUCAUGGUGCUCCUACCCUUACACAUGUAUAUUCCCACAUUGAACUCGAUUAUUGCAAUGAUUGGGUUGAUUUGGACAUACUGUGCCUUGAAUGACUUUUCCCGUUGGGCAAUUCAAAUGAUGGAAGCCUCUUCGGACCCUUCCACCUCUCCGGCCUCACCACUGGAGACUCGGAUGCGAGAACCGCCACCGCCGCUGCCGUGUCUGUCGGUGACGCUCACACAAGAAUCCAGAGGCAGUACCUUGGUCCUCUCCCUGAGAACAACAGCUCUCUCAUGAUGCGCAGUCGCGGCCUGAGGGUGGCGGGACUGACGCCACCGUCCAUGCCAUGUUCUGGCUGAUCCCCAAGGCUCCUUGCCGAUGUCCAACCAGCGCCACACAGCCAAUGGUACUGCCGAUAUGAGGACGCUCACCCCCGUGUUGAUCGAGCUUUUUGACCUGAGCCUGAUGGACAAGGUCAUACGGGCAUCUGAUUUUGAUUUCCUAUGUGCUCUCUUUUCACAAGUGUAGCUUUUUGUGUUAUAAAACUAUGCUACCGAUUGUUCUUUGUUGAUAUUUCCCUACUUGUGUCCUGAUUAAUGGAUCUAAGGUAGUUAGAAGUCACUGAAUAACUACUUAUACUAUUGUGUCAGCCGUCACUGGCUACAAUUGUUUAUAUGAUACUUGUACUAUUAUA
Molecule: long non-coding RNA, 3891 nt
Organism: Triticum aestivum (bread wheat)
Lineage: Eukaryota; Viridiplantae; Streptophyta; Magnoliopsida; Poales; Poaceae
Exons: 4
Source: RefSeq, a predicted model, not a curated record